This 253-nucleotide ribosomal RNA is filed under the name uncultured bacterium. RNAcentral's name for it is "partial 16S ribosomal RNA". It matches the Rfam family "Bacterial small subunit ribosomal RNA", at positions 524 to 776 of the family's 1533-position model. The record is from RNAcentral.
UACGAGGGGGGCAAGCGUUGUUCGGAAUUAUUGGGCGUAAAGGGCGCGUAGGCGGUGCGGUAAGUCACCUGUGAAAACUCUGGGCUCAACUCAGAGCCUGCAGGCGAAACUGCCGUGCUUGAGUGUGGGAGAGGUGCGUGGAAUUCCCGGUGUAGCGGUGAAAUUCGUAGAUAUCGGGAGGAACACCGGUGGCGAAGGCGGCGACCUGGGUCGAUACUGACGCUGAGGUGCGAAAGCGUGGGGAGCAAACAGG